Molecule: long non-coding RNA, 396 nt
Organism: Oreochromis aureus
Lineage: Eukaryota; Metazoa; Chordata; Actinopteri; Cichliformes; Cichlidae
Source: Ensembl
CUGCCUGCGAGUGCGCUGAGAGAAACGGAGCGAGGCAGACAGAGGAGAGCUUAAGUUCGACCAGAUGGACAGGAACAGGAGAGUGAUAGAUGAGAUGAGGAGAUGGAAGGAGGAAGAGAAGCAAAGAUCAGAUACCAUCUCUCCUAUGGACUUUGUAAAUCUGCAGUCUCAGAUCAACACAAUCCUGCCCUUCAGCACUAUCAGCAGCAGGAGCAGCAGCAACCUCUGAAAAGCAGCAUUGUACCCCAUCAGGAUCUUGUGUCUGAGAGGGAUUACUGGACUCACAUUAAUGCAGACUUGAAGAAAAAUGAUGCUCGAAAGGAGUCCCUCAUCAAAGGAUUUUGCAUCUGUCUCAAUUACAAUCGCUGACAUCUUGGUGCAGGAGUACAUGUUGAG